This 486-nucleotide ribosomal RNA is filed under the name uncultured bacterium. RNAcentral describes it as "partial 16S ribosomal RNA". It matches the Rfam family "Bacterial small subunit ribosomal RNA", at positions 30 to 507 of the family's 1533-position model. The record is from RNAcentral.
AUUGAACGCUGGCGGCAUGCCUUACACAUGCAAGUCGAACGGCAGCACGGGUGCUUGCCCCUGGUGGCGAGUGGCGAACGGGUGAGUAAUACAUCGGAACAUGUCCUGUAGUGGGGGAUAGCCCGGCGAAAGCCGGAUUAAUACCGCAUACGAUCCACGGAGGAAAGCGGGGGACCUUCGGGCCUCGCGCUAUAGGGUUGGCCGAUGGCUGAUUAGCUAGUUGGUGGGGUAAAGGCCUACCAAGGCGACGAUCGGUAGCUGGUCUGAGAGGACGACCAGCCACACUGGGACUGAGACACGGCCCCGACUCCUACGGGAGGCAGCAGUGGGGAAUUUUGGACAAUGGGCGAAAGCCUGAUCCAGCAAUGCCGCGUGUGUGAAGAAGGCCUUCGGGUUGUAAAGCACUUUUGUCCGGAAAGAAAUCCUUGGCUCUAAUACAGUCGGGGGAUGACGGUACCGGAAGAAUAAGCACCGGCUAACUACGUG